GGGGAAUAUUGCACAAUGGGCGCAAGCCUGAUGCAGCGACGCCGCGUGAGGGAUGACGGCCUUCGGGUUGUAAACCUCUUUCAGUAGGGAACAAGGCCAGUCGUUGACUGGUUGAGGGUACUUGCAGAAGAAGCGCCGGCUAACUACGUGCCAGCAGCCGCGGUAAUACGUAGGGCGCAAGCGUUAUCCGGAAUUAUUGGGCGUAAAGAGCUCGUAGGCGGUUUGUCGCGUCUGCCGUGAAAGUCCGGGGCUCAACCCCGGAUCUGCGGUGGGUACGGGCAGACUAGAGUGAUGUAGGGGAGACUGGAAUUCCUGGUGUAGCGGUGAAAUGCGCAGAUAUCAGGAGGAACACCGAUGGCGAAGGCAGGUCUCUGGGCAUUAACUGACGCUGAGGAGCGAAAGCAUGGGGAGCGAAC
Molecule: ribosomal RNA, 416 nt
Filed under: uncultured bacterium
Lineage: Bacteria
Description: bacterial SSU rRNA
Rfam family: Bacterial small subunit ribosomal RNA
Source: RNAcentral